This is a non-coding RNA of Aspergillus puulaauensis, 145 nucleotides long. NCBI's taxonomy places the organism in Eukaryota, Fungi, Ascomycota, Eurotiomycetes, Eurotiales, Aspergillaceae. The record is from the annotation of a RefSeq genome assembly.
GGCCGGGUAGCUCAAUGGUAGAGCAUUGGCGUCCGCGUUUGGUUGGUAAUGUUCUGGACUUCGUGAGCUUGCGAAUCAACCAUAAACGUGCGAAAAAAACUGUCCACUAAGCCUACGGUUGCAGGUUCGAGUCCUGUCCUGGUUG